This 492-nucleotide ribosomal RNA is filed under the name uncultured bacterium. RNAcentral describes it as "partial 16S ribosomal RNA". It matches the Rfam family "Bacterial small subunit ribosomal RNA", at positions 29 to 507 of the family's 1533-position model. The record is from RNAcentral.
AGUGAACGCUGGCGGUAGGCCUAACACAUGCAAGUCGAACGGCAGCACAGUAAGAGCUUGCUCUUACGGGUGGCGAGUGGCGGACGGGUGAGGAAUACAUCGGAAUCUACUUUUUCGUGGGGGAUAACGUAGGGAAACUUACGCUAAUACCGCAUACGACCUACGGGUGAAAGCAGGGGAUCUUCGGACCUUGCGCGAUUGAAUGAGCCGAUGUCGGAUUAGCUAGUUGGCGGGGUAAAGGGCCACCAAGGCGACGAUCCGUAGCUGGUCUGAGAGGAUGAUCAGCCACACUGGAACUGAGACACGGCCCAGAAUCCUACGGGAGGCAGCAGUGGGGAAGAUUGGACAAUGGGCGGAAGCCUGAUCCAGCCAUACCGCGUGGGUGAAGAAGGCCUUCGGGUUGUAAAGCCCUUUUGUUGGGAAAGAAAAGCAGCAGGUUAAUACCCCGCUGUUCUGACGGUACCCAAAGAAUAAGCACCGGCUAACUUCGUG